This is a long non-coding RNA of Cyclopterus lumpus (lumpfish), 399 nucleotides long. RefSeq lists it as uncharacterized. The record is from RefSeq and is a predicted model, not a curated record. Lineage: Eukaryota; Metazoa; Chordata; Actinopteri; Perciformes; Cyclopteridae. The transcript has 4 exons.
UUUGCACUGCGACAUAUGUGACCUGGACCAAAUUCUGUGACACUGACAUAGUUUAAAACAUUGAAAGCAGAAAAAGAGGAGGAAUUCAUAACUCUUCGUCUUAUAUCUUAUCAUUUUGUGCGUGGACAACAUAUACAGCUUUGGGUAUGAAGACACCGUAAACCUGAAAAGUACUAAUACAUGAGAAUUAUUGGCACGGCAGGAAUUAUUGGUACAGAAGACAAAUACAAGAUGGAUGUCGAAAAGAUAGUAUCUAUUAUCCUGAUUCUGAUAGUGACACAAACAGCCGAAACAGCUGCAACAGCAACGCCAGUGGCAACAAAUACUUCCGUGCCAACAACAACUGCGGCACCUAUAACAACACCGGUGCCGACAACAACGCCAGCCCCUACAACAACU